This 253-nucleotide ribosomal RNA is filed under the name uncultured bacterium. RNAcentral's name for it is "partial 16S ribosomal RNA". It matches the Rfam family "Bacterial small subunit ribosomal RNA", at positions 524 to 776 of the family's 1533-position model. The record is from RNAcentral.
UACGAGUGCCCCAAGCGUUAUCCGGAAUUAUUGGGCGUAAAGGGUGUGUAGGCGGUUGUGUUAGUCUUCUGUUAAAUUCUUCGGCUUAACCGGGGGCAUGCAGGGGAAACGGCACAACUAGAGGAUGCGAGAGGUGAAUGGAACUCAUGGAGUAGGGGUGAAAUCCGUUGAUAUCAUGGGGAACACCGAAUGCGAAGGCAAUUCACUGGCGCACUCCUGACGCUGAAACACGAAAGCGUAGGUAGCGAAUGGG